This 1191-nucleotide ribosomal RNA is filed under the name Triticum aestivum (bread wheat). RNAcentral's name for it is "partial small subunit ribosomal RNA". Lineage: Eukaryota; Viridiplantae; Streptophyta; Magnoliopsida; Poales; Poaceae. The record is from RNAcentral.
AUGGCGGCUCGCCCGAGGCGUGGGCCCAACGAGUACGUCUCCUACCGCCAGCCCGGCGCGAGCGAGGCGUCGAUGCAUCAUCAUCCUGGCGACGAGCGCUUCCCCGGCGGGCCGAGCCACGGCGAAAUCCAGGACGUCGACGAGCCGGAGGCGCCGGCGCAACCGCCCGGCGGCGGGCGCGGGCCCUACUACAUGGCGCCGUGGCAGAGGCGGGGCCGCCCGCCGCCGCAGCCGCUGCCGCCGGUGGCGGUCGACGAGCCGCGGUACCGGUACGAGCGCGUCCCGGGAGAGCAGAGGAUGAGGAUCCCGGGGCCGGUCCAGGCGCCGCCGAUGGGCCCGCGCCCGACUGGCAACGGCGGCUACAGGACCAACACCACGAGGGUCGAGCGCGUCACCACGAUCAAGCAAGACGACGGCGGCGGGCCUUACCCAGCGGGCGCGCCGGUGCCGGGCAACGGGAGCCCGCAGCAGCAGCAGCACCACGAUCACCAGGGGUCGACGUCGCACACGCCGCCGGGACGUCCCCGCAGGACGCCGGGGAGGAGGACUCCGGCAGGCUCCCCGGGCUAUCUCUCGCCGGACCGCGGCAGGGAGAAGCGCAGGCAGCUGCCGGCCUUCUGCUUCACCCUCUGCUGCAUCCUGUUCUGGCUGGCGGUGGUCAUCGUCGGCGUGGCCGUGCUCACCGUGUACCUUUACUACCGCCCGCAGCCGCCGAAGCUCCGGGUGACCGACGCGUCCUUGAACGCCGGGUACGUGGACGAGCUGACCGUCCCCGGCGGCCCGGCCCGCGGCCUCGCGCUCAACGCCGACCUCACCGUGCUGACCGCUAUCGCGAGCCCCAACACCAAGAUGAAGAUGGUCCUCUGGUACAUGCAGCUGGACCUGUACUUCGAGGGCCACAAGAUCGGCACUUCGACGGUGCUGCCGGCGCCGCUGUUCGAGGACCCCCGCACCUACGCGCUCCGGACCGUGGACUUCGUCGUCAGCGAGGCGCCGCUGUCGCGGGAGGACGCCAUUGCGUGGAGGAACGGGACGGUGGCGGGCGGGCCCGUGAAGCUCAAGGUCGUCGGGAAGUUCCACACGCAGCUCAACUUCGGGCGGUGGCUGCCGUACAAGUACUGGGUGUACCCGCGCUGCACCAUCUGGAUGGACCCGCCGCCCACCGGCAAGCUGGUGCGGGCACGCUGCUGA